Molecule: ribosomal RNA, 1701 nt
Filed under: Campylobacter jejuni
Lineage: Bacteria; Pseudomonadati; Campylobacterota; Epsilonproteobacteria; Campylobacterales; Campylobacteraceae
Description: partial 23S ribosomal RNA
Rfam family: Bacterial large subunit ribosomal RNA
Source: RNAcentral
AUUUGCGUCGAAGGUAUACCGGUAAGGAGUGCUGGAGCGAAUAGAAGUGAGCAUGCAGGCAUGAGUAGCGAUAAUUAAUGUGAGAAUCAUUAACGCCGUAAACCCAAGGUUUCCUACGCGAUGCUCGUCAUCGUAGGGUUAGUCGGGUCCUAAGUCGAGUCCGAAAGGGGUAGACGAUGGCAAAUUGGUUAAUAUUCCAAUACCAACAUUAGUGUGCGAUGGAAGGACGCUUAGGGCUAAGGGGGCUAGCGGAUGGAAGUGCUAGUCUAAGGUCGUAGGAGGUUAUACAGGCAAAUCCGUAUAACAAUACUCCGAGAACUGAAAGGCUUUUUGAAGUCUUCGGAUGGAUAGAAGAACCCCUGAUGCCGUCGAGCCAAGAAAAGUUUCUAAGUUUAGCUAAUGUUGCCCGUACCGUAAACCGACACAGGUGGGUGGGAUGAGUAUUCUAAGGCGCGUGGAAGAACUCUCUUUAAGGAACUCUGCAAAAUAGCACCGUAUCUUCGGUAUAAGGUGUGGUUAGCUUUGUAUUAGGAUUUACUCCGAAAGCAAGGAAACUUACAACAAAGAGUCCCUCCCGACUGUUUACCAAAAACACAGCACUCUGCUAACUCGUAAGAGGAUGUAUAGGGUGUGACGCCUGCCCGGUGCUCGAAGGUUAAUUGAUGGGGUUAGCAUUAGCGAAGCUCUUGAUCGAAGCCCGAGUAAACGGCGGCCGUAACUAUAACGGUCCUAAGGUAGCGAAAUUCCUUGUCGGUUAAAUACCGACCUGCAUGAAUGGCGUAACGAGAUGGGAGCUGUCUCAAAGAGGGAUCCAGUGAAAUUGUAGUGGAGGUGAAAAUUCCUCCUACCCGCGGCAAGACGGAAAGACCCCGUGGACCUUUACUACAGCUUGACACUGCUACUUGGAUAAGAAUGUGCAGGAUAGGUGGGAGGCUUUGAGUAUAUGACGCCAGUUGUAUAUGAGCCAUUGUUGAGAUACCACUCUUUCUUAUUUGGGUAGCUAACCAGCUUGAGUUAUCCUCAAGUGGGACAAUGUCUGGUGGGUAGUUUGACUGGGGCGGUCGCCUCCCAAAUAAUAACGGAGGCUUACAAAGGUUGGCUCAGAACGGUUGGAAAUCGUUCGUAGAGUAUAAAGGUAUAAGCCAGCUUAACUGCAAGACAUACAAGUCAAGCAGAGACGAAAGUCGGUCUUAGUGAUCCGGUGGUUCUGUGUGGAAGGGCCAUCGCUCAAAGGAUAAAAGGUACCCCGGGGAUAACAGGCUGAUCUCCCCCAAGAGCUCACAUCGACGGGGAGGUUUGGCACCUCGAUGUCGGCUCAUCGCAUCCUGGGGCUGGAGCAGGUCCCAAGGGUAUGGCUGUUCGCCAUUUAAAGCGGUACGCGAGCUGGGUUCAGAACGUCGUGAGACAGUUCGGUCCCUAUCUGCCGUGGGCGUAAGAAGAUUGAAGAGAUUUGACCCUAGUACGAGAGGACCGGGUUGAACAAACCACUGGUGUAGCUGUUGUUCUGCCAAGAGCAUCGCAGCGUAGCUAAGUUUGGAAAGGAUAAACGCUGAAAGCAUCUAAGCGUGAAGCCAACUCUAAGAUGAAUCUUCUCUAAGCUCUCUAGAAGACUACUAGUUUGAUAGGCUGGGUGUGUAAUGGAUGAAAGUCCUUUAGCUGACCAGUACUAAUAGAGCGUUUGGCUUAUCUUUAAUAAAGCAU